AUCCUUUUGUAGUUCAUAAGCAUGAUUGGAUGCUCAUGUUCUUGUGUGUGAUGUGCCUCCCACAAACACCUUAUUAUGACUUUGGCACAUUACCCAUCUGACA
Small nucleolar RNA from Myotis myotis, 103 nucleotides. RefSeq annotates it as small nucleolar RNA U13. The record is from RefSeq and is a predicted model, not a curated record. The transcript has a single exon. NCBI's taxonomy places the organism in Eukaryota, Metazoa, Chordata, Mammalia, Chiroptera, Vespertilionidae.